Molecule: ribosomal RNA, 402 nt
Filed under: uncultured bacterium
Lineage: Bacteria
Description: bacterial SSU rRNA
Rfam family: Bacterial small subunit ribosomal RNA
Source: RNAcentral
UGGGGAAUAUUGGACAAUGGGGGAAACCCUGAUCCAGCAAUGCCGCGUGAGUGAAGAAGGCCUUAGGGUUGUAAAGCUCUUUCGCCCGCGAAGAUAAUGACGGUAGCGGGAGAAGAGGCUGCGGCUAACUACGUGCCAGCAGCCGCGGUAAUACGUAGGCAGCAAGCGUUGUUCGGAGUUACUGGGCGUAAAGAGUGCGUAGGCGGUUUUCUAAGUUCGGUGUGAAAUCUCCCGGCUUAACUGGGAGGGUGCGCCGAAGACUGGGAAGCUGGAGUGUGGGAAAGGCAGGCGGAAUUCCUGGUGUAGCGGUGAAAUGCGUAGAUAUCAGGAGGAACACCGGCGGUGUAGACGGCUUGCUAGACCAUAACUGACGCUGAGGCACGAAAGCGUGGGUAGCAAACA